UUCCACAAUGGACGAAAGUCUGAUGGAGCAACGCCGCGUGAGUGAAGAAGGGUUUCGGCUCGUAAAACUCUGUUGUUAAAGAAGAACAUAUCUGAGAGUAACUGUUCAGGUAUUGACGGUAUUUAACCAGAAAGCCACGGCUAACUACGUGCCAGCAGCCGCGGUAAUACGUAGGUGGCAAGCGUUGUCCGGAUUUAUUGGGCGUAAAGCGAGCGCAGGCGGUUUUUUAAGUCUGAUGUGAAAGCCUUCGGCUCAACCGAAGAAGUGCAUCGGAAAC
Molecule: ribosomal RNA, 277 nt
Filed under: Lactiplantibacillus plantarum
Lineage: Bacteria; Bacillati; Bacillota; Bacilli; Lactobacillales; Lactobacillaceae
Description: Lactobacillus plantarum partial 16S ribosomal RNA
Rfam family: Bacterial small subunit ribosomal RNA
Source: RNAcentral